This 468-nucleotide ribosomal RNA is filed under the name uncultured bacterium. Its description in RNAcentral is "partial 16S ribosomal RNA". It matches the Rfam family "Bacterial small subunit ribosomal RNA", at positions 28 to 507 of the family's 1533-position model. The record is from RNAcentral.
GACGAACGCUGGCGGCGUGCUUAACACAUGCAAGUCGAACGGAAAGGCCCUGCUUUUGUGGGGUGCUCGAGUGGCGAACGGGUGAGUAACACGUGAGUAACCUGCACUUGAAUUUGGGAUAAAUUCAGGAAACAGGGGCUAAUAUCGGAUAGGAGCUCCUGCUGCAUGGUGGGGGUUGGAAAAUUUCGGCGGUUGGGGAUGGACUCGCAGCUUAUCCGCUUGUUGGGGGGGUAGUGGCUUACCAAGCCUUUGACGGGUAGCCCGCCUGAGAGGUUGACCGGCCACAAGGGGACUGAGAGACGGCGCAGACUCCUACGGGAGGCAGCAGUGGGGAAUAUUGCACAAUGGGCGGAAGCCUGAUGCAGCAACGCCGCGUGCGGGAUGACGGCCUUCGGGUUGUAAACCGCUUUCGCCUGUGACGAAGCGUGAGUGACGGUAAUGGGUAAAGAAGCACCGGCUAACUACGUG